This 505-nucleotide ribosomal RNA is filed under the name uncultured bacterium. RNAcentral's name for it is "partial 16S ribosomal RNA". It matches the Rfam family "Bacterial small subunit ribosomal RNA", at positions 29 to 523 of the family's 1533-position model. The record is from RNAcentral.
AGUGAACGCUGGCGGUAGGCCUAAACAUGCAAGUCGAACGGCAGCACAGGAGAGCUUGCUCUCUGGGUGGCGAGUGGCGGACGGGUGAGGAAUACAUCGGAAUCUACUUUUUCGUGGGGGAUAACGUAGGGAAACUUACGCUAAUACCGCAUACGACCUACGGGUGAAAGCAGGGGAUCUUCGGACCUUGCGCGAUUGAAUGAGCCGAUGUCGGGUUAGUUAGUUGGCGGGGGAAAGGCCCACCAAGGCGAAGAUCCGUAGCUGGUCGGAGAGGAUGAUCAGCCACACUGGAACUGGGACACGGUCCAGACUCCUACGGGAGGCAGCAGUGGGGAAUAUUGGACAAUGGGCGCAAGCCUGAUCCAGCCAUACCGCGUGGGUGAAGAAGGCCUUCGGGUUGUAAAGCCCUUUUGUUGGGAAAGAAAUCCAGCUGGUUAAUACCCGGUUGGGAUGGCGGUACCCAAAGAAUAAGCACCGGCUAACUUCGUGCCAGCCGCCGCCGUAA